Molecule: long non-coding RNA, 935 nt
Organism: Brienomyrus brachyistius
Lineage: Eukaryota; Metazoa; Chordata; Actinopteri; Osteoglossiformes; Mormyridae
Exons: 3
Source: RefSeq, a predicted model, not a curated record
ACAUUAAAAGGAACAUUGUUUUAUAAACCAAAUUGUAAACAUGGAUCCCCGUUUAAAAGCGGCUUUGCUUUUUCAAGACAAAAUUAUACGGCGGUGCACACUACCAUGCCGGGACAAGGUACAUUGUCACCCGGACUUGGCUUCCUCCCUACAACUGUGAGCCACUUCAAUCCCUUCCUAACCACACGUAUAUCCCCACGAAAGCAAGUUGCUCUUGUUAAUAAAGGCUGGUGGAACGACGGACUGAUGCAUUCUGACCGAUGCACACUCAGGGCUCAUAACGCCAUAAGCAAGCAACAUUAAUAGGCGGCACCUCCUUCUUCACAAGUCCCUCUAAUGAUUAAAAUGCAUCAGCAGCUGCAAAGCUAUUCACAAUCGGACGUGCCAUCAUCACCCACCUUCACACACAGACUGGGGAGCCCCUUUCAGUCCAGGCAGGAGACCAACACUGAGUCCCGAUAAGUGCCAGGCGAUGCACGCUCCGGUUAGUACUGAGUUCUCCCCCUUCCUUUAGGCCACUUAAAAAAAAAAAUUGGUUCUCGUCCCCUCCCGACCCGCCGAAAUGCCUCCGACCCGAAUUUUUUUAAAAUUUUUAUUUCGUAAAAAUCGCAUGGAAAACGCCCAAGAAUGACGAAAUUUGAAUUUCCCGUGCAUUCCACAUCGACGAUUGUCGAUUCGGAACCACUCGGGAACCCUCGGCGCAGAUGCCGUUUUCCAGCCAUUUUGUUUACACUUACUUUGAGUGGGGAAAUUCUCGGAUGUUUUCAAGAGGGUCCAGCUGCAGAAGACUGUAGAGUGGAACUCCACAGGAAAUAUGUCAGCUCCACAGGAAACACGUGAUCUUUAAGAACGUAAAGUGGGGCUAAUCUUUACGCCGUAAAAUGGAGCUCCACAGGAAACACGCCAUCUACACUGUGUUUGUACCAAGAGAGAGU